AUUGAACGCUGGCGGCAGGCCUAACACAUGCAAGUCGAGCGGAGCGGCGGACGGGGGAGUAAUGCCUAGGAAUCUGCCUGGUAGUGGGGGAUAACGUCCGGAAAAGGGCGCUAAUACCGCAUACUAUCAGAUGAGCAUAGGUCGGAUUAGCUAGUUGGUGUGUAAAAGGCCUACCAAGGCGACGCUCCGGAACUGGUCUGAGAGGAGGAUCAGUCACACUGGAACUGAGACACGGUCCAGACUCCAACGGGAGGCAGCAGUGGGGAAUAGGGCACAAUGGGAGCAAGCCUGAUCCAGCCAUGCCGCGGGGAUGAAUAAGGCCUUCGGGUUGGAAAGUACUUUCAGCGGGGAGGCGUUACCCGCAGAAGAAGCACCGGCUAACUCCGUGCCAGCAGCCGCGGUAAUUC
Molecule: ribosomal RNA, 407 nt
Filed under: uncultured bacterium
Lineage: Bacteria
Description: partial 16S ribosomal RNA
Rfam family: Bacterial small subunit ribosomal RNA
Source: RNAcentral